AUGAGCAGUUUUCACAUGAUGACGUUCCCCUUCCCCCGUCCCUUCUAUUUCGCAAUUGCGGCGGCGGCGGCGGCAGGGAUGGCACCGGAGGAAUGACCUGACUGCUAUGGCUACUUCUCUCGAGCGUGGUGUACUUCCCUUUCCCUCUCCCACGCGGUGGCGAACCGGAGGCGACGUGGGCGGUGCAAUGAUCGGGGCGAGCUCGGCGGCGCCAGCGGCCUUCUACGGCAUCCGUCUCCACCCUCGGCGGUCUUAUCGCUUGGGAAGGGGAAGAAACUAGGGAAGGAAAGGAAAAAAGAGAGGAGUUUAGGGAGUGAUGGAAGUGAUGCUGGAGACAGGCACCUGGCAGUGAGAUGAUGGAGGUGGAGAAGAAGGCCCAGCCGAUGACAUAGAAGAAGAGGAGAGCUCAAUGCCGCGGAGCAAAAGGAACAACAGUAGAGUAUCAGACUUUGAUUCAGCUGAGACAUUUUAGUUUUUUCGCAAGACAUGUGAAUCCUCUCUGCGUUUUUGCUUUUGUUUAGAAUUCACGAAUUUUCUUCCUUGUAGCUAUAAAUGAUGGUUCCGACUUAAUUGGAUGUUAGUAAUGACGUACAUAAACAAUCAAUCUAUACAGCUGUACCUAGCUGACAAUGCUAUGUCUCUGUUUGGACCUGGCUGACAAUGCUAACUCUCUGUAUAUUUGUAUUAUCGAAAUUUGCACAAACCUACAAGAAAAAUUUCUUCAAUUAAAGAUGAUUCAUUUUACGAGGAAUUUGUUUUAUAUUUAGUGAAUUUAUUAGGCAAACAAGGAAUUGGAAUUCUGCCAAGAAAUCUAGGAGCAGAAGAAGAUGCAAGACUUGCGGACUAGGCAAAUGCUGUGCAGGCGAGAAAAUGUUUGGAGCAAUUCGUGAUUAGUACCAGUUUCAAAUUAGAUUUAUUUCAAUUGCAAUGAGGUACAAGACUGGCCCUCUUCCUUGCUGUCUUAUCUUUAUUGUUUAUUUGGUUGAACUAGCAUAAACCUAACUUUUAAUAUUGAUGUGUUUCCGCCCAAUUUGUGUAGUAAGCCAUGCUAGUCAUCAAUUAAUCAAUCUCAAUGUUCCCUUAAUAGAUGGUUGCUAUUGAUUUGCUGUGGCUUAGCUAUCGAGGACAAAACAUUUCCCUUUCCCCCCUAAUAGUUGUUUAUUUGCUCCUUCUAGGAGGCCUGCAUUUUGCUAAUUGUCUAUUUGCUAGAGAAGUAGUGGCAAUGAACAUUUUUAUUCUGACGCAUUAUCUGAAUAGCUUCAGAAAUUCUUAACAUGAAAAUACAUAAUA
Molecule: long non-coding RNA, 1290 nt
Organism: Triticum aestivum (bread wheat)
Lineage: Eukaryota; Viridiplantae; Streptophyta; Magnoliopsida; Poales; Poaceae
Exons: 3
Source: RefSeq, a predicted model, not a curated record